Molecule: long non-coding RNA, 206 nt
Filed under: Elaeis guineensis (African oil palm)
Lineage: Eukaryota; Viridiplantae; Streptophyta; Magnoliopsida; Arecales; Arecaceae
Description: long non-coding RNA (EGUI_LNC042025)
Source: RNAcentral
GCUCGUGAGUCUCCACCCUCACCGGCACCCGUUUCUUUCUUGCGGUAACAAAUCUAUUUGUUUUGGAACGUAGCACCUGCUCCAUGGUCGCAUGCGAAUCUACAACCUCAUUUGCCAUAUAUACAACUCUUACCUUUUUUUUUUUUUUUUUUUUGUUCUAAACAUGUAGAGCACAUUUUACGAGGAAUUAGAAAAUAAAAGCCCGC